GACGAACGCUGGCGGCGUGCUUAACACAUGCAAGUCGAACGGAAAGGCCCUGCUUUUGUGGGGUGCUCGAGUGGCGAACGGGUGAGUAACACGUGAGUAACCUGCCCUUGACUUUGGGAUAACUUCAGGAAACUGGGGCUAAUACCGGAUAGGAGCUCCUGCUGCAUGGUGGGGGUUGGAAAGUUUCGGCGGUUGGGGAUGGACUCGCGGCUUAUCAGCUUGUUGGUGGGGUAGUGGCUUACCAAGGCUUUGACGGGUAGCCGGCCUGAGAGGGUGACCGGCCACAUGGGGACGGAGAGAGGCCCCAGCCUCCGAGGGGGGGAAGAGGGGGGAAUUAUGCCAAAAGGGGCGGAGCCUGGAGGCAGCACCCCCGGGUGGGGGAGGGCGGCUUUGGGUUUGUAACCCGCUUCCGCUGGGGACGAAGGGUGAGGGAGGGUAAUGGGUAAAGAAGCCCCGGCAAACUACGGC
RNAcentral lists this ribosomal RNA (468 nucleotides) under uncultured bacterium. Its description in RNAcentral is "partial 16S ribosomal RNA". It matches the Rfam family "Bacterial small subunit ribosomal RNA", at positions 28 to 508 of the family's 1533-position model. The record is from RNAcentral.